Molecule: long non-coding RNA, 3477 nt
Filed under: Sus scrofa (pig)
Lineage: Eukaryota; Metazoa; Chordata; Mammalia; Artiodactyla; Suidae
Description: lncRNA (ENSSSCG00005008461.1)
Source: RNAcentral
UCCAGAGCUAGGGAGGGUCUGAUUGGAGCUGUAGCCGCCAGUUUACGCCAGAGCCACAACAACGCGGGAUCCGAGCCGCAUCUGCAACCUACACCACAGCUCACGGCAACGCUGGAUCGUUAACCCACUGAGCAAGGGCAGGGAUCGAACCCACAACCUCAUGGUUCCUAGUUGGAUUCGUUAACCACUGCGCCACGACGGGAACUCCCAAGAAGUACAGUUUUUAAGCUAGCACCUCAUCAAGUUCUGUGAAUACCUAAACCUAAUGAGGUCUGUAGAACCUUUGUAAUGUAAUUCUUUUUUUUAUUAAAAAAAAUUCUUUUUUCCCACUGUACAGCAUGGGGACCAAGUUACUCUUACAUGUAUACAUUUUUUUUCACCUUUUGUUCUGUUGCAAUAUGAGUAUCUAGACAUAGUUCUUGAUGCUACUCGGCAGGAUCUCCAUGUAAAUCCAUUCCAAGUUGUAUCUGAUAACCCCAAGCUCCCGAUCCCUCCCACUCCCUCCCUCUCCCAUCAGGCAGCCACAAGUCUAUCCUCCAAGUCCAUGAUUUUCUUUUCUGUGGAAAGGUUCAUUUGUGCUGUAUAUUAGAUUCUAGUUAUAAGUGAUAUCAUAUGGUAUUUGUCUUUGUCUUUCUGACUUAUUUCACUCAGUAUAAGAGUCUCUAGUUCCAUCCAUGUUGCCAUAAAUGGCAUUAUGUCGUUCUUUUUUAUGGCUGAGUAGUAUUCCAUUGUGUAUAUAUACCACAUCUUCCAAAUCCAAUCAUCUGUCAAUGGACAUUUGGGUUGUUUCCAUGUCCUGGCUAUUGUGAAUAGUGCUGCAAUGAACAUGCGGGUGCAUGUGUUUCUUUUAAGAAAAGUUUUGUGUGGAUAUAUACCCAAGAGUGGGAUUGUGGGGUCAUAUGGAAGUUCUAUGUAUAGAUUUCUAAGGUACCUCUAUACUGUUCUCCAUAGUGGCUGUACCAGUUUACAUUCCUACCAGCAGUGCAGGAAGAUUCCCUUUUCUCCACAACCCCCCCCCAGCACUUGUUAUUUGGGGACUUAUUAAUGAUGGCCAUUCUGACUGGUGUGAGGUCGUAUCUCAUGGUAGUUUUGAUUUGCAUUUCUCUUAUAAUCAGCCAUGUUGAGCAUUUUUUCAUGUGCUUGUUGGCCAUCUGUAUAUCUUCCUUGGAGAACAGUCUAUUCAGGUCUUUUGCCCAUUUUUCCAUUGGUUGAUUGGCUUGUUUGCUGUUGAGUUGUAUAAGUUGCUUGUAUAUUCUAGAGAUUAAGCCCUUUUCCGUUGCAUCGUUUGAAACUAUUUUCUCCCAUUCUGUAAGUUGUAUUUUUGUUUUCUUUUUGGUUUCCUUUGCUGUGCAAAAGCUUUUCAGUUUGAUUAGGUCCCAUUGGUUUAUUUUUGCUCUUAUUUCUGUUGCUUUGGGAGAUGUAAUGUAAUUCUAAGGUUUGGGAUCCUCCAUUGCUGCCACUGAAGUUACUCAGGAACUAGUUGAAGUGGUGUGGACAGUUGGGGAACUCUGAACUCCAGAGCCCAGGACACUGACUGAAGUUUUUAAUGCCACACACCUCCUGUAGUUAACAUCUUUAAAGACUUGGCUUUUAAGAAUAAAGUCAGGUUUGGACCUUUGCUUUGUUGUUUUCAUUUGCUUUGUUUUUCUCAGCUUUGUUUAGGUAUAAUUGAUAAAAUUGUAAAAUAUUUAAAGCUUACCUCAUAAUGAUUUUUUUUUUUUGCCUGCACCUGUGGCGUAUGGAAGUUCUUGGGCCAGGGAUUGAAUCCAAGCCCCUGAAGUGACAACACUGGAUGCUUAACCUGCUAACUCACAAGGAAACUCCCUCAUAAUGAUUUGAUCUGUGUGUAUGUUGUGAAAAGAUUCCUCCCAUCUAGUUCAUAAACAGAUCCUCCACCUCACAUAUUUAUUGCAUAUGUGUGUGUGUGUGUGAGAGAGAGAGAGAGCAUUAUAUUCUACUCUCUUAGCACAUUCCUUUUUUUUUUUUUCUUUUUGGCUGUGCCUGCAGCAUGCGGAAGUUCCCUGGCCACAGCAGUCACCUGAGCCACAGCAAUGAAUAUGUUGGAUCCUUAACCUACUCACCACCAGGGAACUCCACAGAUUUCACUUAUACAGUAUAGUGUUAGCAGCUAUAGUCGACCAUGCCUUAUUUGUUCCUCUUACACCUGAAAGCUUAUACCCUUUCAUCGUCUUCUCCCUAUUUCCCGCAUGCCCCUAGCGACCACUUUUCUACCCUAUUUUUGAAUUUGACUUAAAAAAAAAAAAGAUUUAUGUAUUAGUGAUACUAUGCAGCAUGCAGUAUUUUUUUUUUUUUAUUUACUUUGGAUUGACGAAAGAGUAUCUGAAUUUAUUGCGCCUACCUGCCCUUGUAUAUAGAAGAUAGUAACAUUAGAAGUCAUUCUCUUCUCUGCUUAUGUCAGAUAUUAUUUUAAUCAUUGGGUGGGUGGGGGGAAUAAAAUCCUACCCUCCAAAAUUUCACUCUCUACUAGAGCCCUGGGAUAGCCAAGAGACCGUUUGGAUGAACCAUGCUAUGGCAGCACACAGGAGGGCUUUUGAUUUAGAUGUUGAUGUGUUUUUUGGGCUUGGGUGGCUGUUCAAGGAAGAUUUUCCAGAGGAAACACUGAACCGAAUUUUGAACUUCACUUCAGGCAUCUGAAUCGAAGUUUGCAAUGUUAAGUGUGAGUUAGCCAAACCAAAGAAAGGAAUAUGAGGUAAUGUAGGUAGACAAAAGCAAAUAUGAAUUACCCAAACCAAAGAAAGGGAUAUGAAGGUAACAGGUAGACAAAAGCCUGGAGGCAUGCAGGGCAUGGCACAUGUAGGAAACUGCAAGUCAUUGAGCGUGGUUGGGAUUUUAGGCAGUGUGGGCAAGAAAGGGAGGCUGGAGAGGCCAGAUCAUGAAGGAUCUUGUUAGCUGUCAAAGACUCUCUUCCUCUGGUCUUCCUUGUAAAUACAGCCUUUGUUCACAGAAGCUGGGAAUCUUUGAGUCAUCUUUGACUCUUGAGGACUCCUCCUUUCCCUUAAACUCCCACAUAAUUAGGCACCAAAUCUUGUCCGUUUGGGGAGCUUGGGUUGAAAUGGUGUAAUGACAAGCUGGCUGUAGACUCUGUUCUCCAUGGCGGGCUGUAACGUUAAUUUCUAGGGCUUAAUGCUGGCUCACAGACCCUUAGUAAAUGUUUAAAUGAAGAGUUCAAAAGAGAAAAUGUUUAUGAGUAUUUUUACAUGCAACCAUUCUAUUUUCCAUUUUCUUAUAGAAAAUUUAAUAAUCUUAGGUGACCUAGUUGAAAAGUCAACACUUAGAUAACUAAAAAUCUUCAAAACAGAAUCAGACCCAAUUAGUAAGAUCUAAUGGUGGGUGACUGAAGCAAUAUCAUAGUUGGGGGAGAAAAGUGCCAGACAGCUUUUAGCAAUUUGAUUAUAAUGAGUAUACACUAGUAGAGAUUAAUUUCUUAGGGGAAAAAUCGUGAACGUUAUUUAUUGC